RNAcentral lists this ribosomal RNA (150 nucleotides) under uncultured eukaryote. RNAcentral describes it as "partial 18S ribosomal RNA". It matches the Rfam family "Eukaryotic small subunit ribosomal RNA", at positions 1299 to 1458 of the family's 1831-position model. The record is from RNAcentral.
UGGUGGAGUGAUUUGUCUGGUUAAUUCCGUUAACGAACGAGACCUCAGCCUGCUUGUGUAGUCGGCUCGAUUGCUCUUGUGGUGAUUGCUGGAUUCGACUUCUUAGAGGGACUAUCGAUGCGCAGUCGAUGGAAGUUUGAGGCAAUAACA